RNAcentral lists this ribosomal RNA (492 nucleotides) under uncultured bacterium. RNAcentral's name for it is "partial 16S ribosomal RNA". It matches the Rfam family "Bacterial small subunit ribosomal RNA", at positions 29 to 507 of the family's 1533-position model. The record is from RNAcentral.
AGUGAACGCUGGCGGCAUGCCUAACACAUGCAAGUCGAACGGAAGGACAGUAAGAGUGUGCCCCUAAGGGUGGCGACUGGCGGACGGGUGAGGAAUACAUCGGAAUCCACUUUUUCUUGGGGGAUAACGUAGGGAAACUUACGCUAAUAGCGCAUAUAACCUACGGGUGAAAGCAGGAGAUAUUCGGAGCUUUCGCGAUACAUUGAGCCGAUGUCGGAUUAGCUAGUUGGCGGGGUAAAGGCCCACCAAGGCGACGAUCCGUAGCUGAUCUGAGAGGAUGAUCAGCCACACUGGAACUGAGACACGGUCCAGACUCCUACGGGAGGCAGCAGUAGGGAAUAUUGGGCAAUGGGCGCAAGCCUGAUCCAGCCAUACCGCGUGAGUGAUGAAGGCCUUCGGGUUGUAAAGCCCUUUUGUUGGGAAAGAAAAGAAGCAUAUUUAUACCCGGCUGUCCUGACGGUACCCAAACAAUAAGCACCGGCUAACUACGUG